RNAcentral lists this ribosomal RNA (1731 nucleotides) under Triticum aestivum (bread wheat). RNAcentral describes it as "partial small subunit ribosomal RNA". Lineage: Eukaryota; Viridiplantae; Streptophyta; Magnoliopsida; Poales; Poaceae. The record is from RNAcentral.
AUGGUGUUCUGUUAUCACUGUCAGGAUGACUGCCCGUAUAUACAGGACCCUGACAACGGGAUCACAUGUUGUGGAAUGUGCGGGAAGGUUUUUGAUGAGCACAUUUUUGAGGUUGGGCCUACUUUUGUCAAGAACUCCUCGGGACAGAGCGAAAUGGCUGGAAAAAUAAUUGAAGGCGUUGGGAGUGGCUGUUCUAUAUCCCGUGAAAGAACUGAAGCAAAAGGGAGAGAUGAGAUUUGGCAGAUUGUCCAUGGUUUGCAUGUGAGCGGUGGAGAUGAUAUCAUUUGCACUGCUCAUAACUUUUAUAAACUAGCUCUUGAUAAUGACUUUACUAAGGGACGUCGAACAAGUCACGUUGCAGCCGCUUGUCUUUACAUUGCCUGCCGGCGAGGUGAAAAACCUUAUCUUCUUAUUGAUUUCUCAGACCAUUUGCAAAUAAGUGUUUAUGUCCUAGGUGGUGUUUUUCUGCAGCUUUGCCAGGUUUUGUUACUCGGAGAACACCCAAUUGUUCAAAAGCUUGUAGAUCCUAGCCUUUUCAUCCAUCGUUUUACUGAACGUUUACUGGGAAAAAGGGACAAUGCUGUCUCGGACACAGCUUUACGCAUUGUAGCUAGCAUGAAGCGAGACUGGAUGCAGACUGGGAGGAAGCCAAGUGGUUUAUGUGGUGCAGCAUUAUAUAUCGCGGCACUUUCUCACGGAUAUGAUUACACCAAGGCAGAUAUUGCUGCUGUUGUGCAUGUCUGUGAGGCAACGCUAUCUAAGCGCUUAGUAGAGUUUGAAAAUACAGAUUCUGGUAGCUUAACGAUUGAAGAUUUUUUGGCAAAGGCUGAUGAAGAGACGGUUCCAAAAUGUUCAGCCAAGUAUGGAGACGUCCUUUGUGAGCACAAGGGUGCUGAGCAUUUUUCUCAUGGACUUUGCGAGGAAUGCUACUACAAUUUCACUGAGCUGUCAGGUGGACUGGAGGGUGGUGCUGACCCUCCAGCUUUUCAGCGAGCUGAAAAAAAAAGACAUGCUGCUGCUAAAAGAGCUAAGGAUUCUUCUGUAGUCGACACAACAUUAUGUGAGUUACAUAGUUCUGAUGUUGAGCAUAACAUCAUGAGCCCUGGGAAGAACUGUGUAGGCAAAUCUUCGACAGGUUGUUCCAGUCAAACUGCAAAUGAUUUUGAAGCUCCCAUCGAUCCUGAAGUGGAAGGUGAAAAUGGUAAAGCUGAUUCUGAUCCUGAAAAUCUUUCUGAUAUUGAUGAUGUGGAGGUUGACGGGUAUCUUCACAACGAGGAAGAAACACAGAACAAAAAGAUUAUCUGGGAGGAAAUGAACAAAGAAUACCUAGAGGAACAAGCUGCAAAGGAAGCUUUAGCGGCUGAAUUGGCAGCGAAAGGUAUAUCUGUUGGAGAGGGACAACCGAAGAAACGGAAACGUAAGGAGGACAAGAACUCCACACCUGCUGAAACACCAGCAGAAGCAACAUGCAACAUGUUGAAACGGAAGGGACUUGGGUCAAAAAUCAAUGUUGAAGCUGUUAGUGGAUUGUACAAUACUGAAGAUGAAGUUGGCAAAGCAAAUGGCAAAGAUGACAUACACUUUGACGAGGAAUAUGAACAGGAUAUCGGUUAUGGUGAAACAUUUGAUGCUAGUUACGACUAUGGUCACGAUGCUGAUUACAACUAUGAAGGCUAUGUUGAUGAGGGUGGUGGCGGAGUUUAUGAUGAUUAUCAUGACACUGAUUACUAG